Molecule: long non-coding RNA, 331 nt
Organism: Dreissena polymorpha
Lineage: Eukaryota; Metazoa; Mollusca; Bivalvia; Myida; Dreissenidae
Exons: 3
Source: RefSeq, a predicted model, not a curated record
GGCACAGCCUCAACCAUUCUGGCAAUGUGCUUGGUUUAUUUUCAGAUUUGCGAGGUGACCAGUUUCCAGACAUUGGUUCGCUCCUGCUUGUGUACGCGAUUGGCCGAGACUAAAAAAACUGUAGUGUGCCACCUUAAGGUUUUAGUCGUUUGCUUGUAAGGCAAGAUGGUCCCUGGAGAAGAACUAAAAUACGUCAACAGCCUUGUCAGCGGAAAGACACUCCGUUGCAGUAACUUAAGAUUUGCGAGGUGACCAGUUUCCAGACAUUGGUUCGCUCCUGCUUGUGUACGCGAUUGGCCGAGACUAAAAAAACUGUAGUGUGCCACCAUAA